UGCCUACGGGGGGCAGCAGUGGGGGAUAUUGCACAAUGGAGGAAACUCUGAUGCAGCGACGCCGCGUGAGGGAAGACGGUCUUCGGAUUGUAAACCUCUGUCUUUGGGGAAGAAAAUGACGGUACCCAAAGAGGAAGCUCCAGCUAACUACGUGCCAGCAGCCGCGGUAAUACGUAGGUGGCAAGCGUUGUUCGGAAUAACUGGGCGUAAAGGAUGCGUAGGCGGUUAAACAAGUUAUAUGUUAAAUAUAUAGGCUUAACCUGUAGAAAGCAUAUAAAACUGUUUAACUAGAGUGCAGG
Molecule: ribosomal RNA, 299 nt
Filed under: uncultured bacterium
Lineage: Bacteria
Description: partial 16S ribosomal RNA
Rfam family: Bacterial small subunit ribosomal RNA
Source: RNAcentral